Molecule: long non-coding RNA, 231 nt
Filed under: Physcomitrium patens
Lineage: Eukaryota; Viridiplantae; Streptophyta; Bryopsida; Funariales; Funariaceae
Description: long non-coding RNA (PPAT_LNC001809)
Source: RNAcentral
GAAGAUUCUUAGAAUAUUCUAGUAGAUUCUAAGAAGUUACUUGAGAAGCUUCCUAGCUCUUGGGUAGUUGCUCGAGAAGCUUCACAGUUCUUGGGAAGCUUCCUAGCUCUUGGGUAGUUGCUCGAGAAGCUUCACAGUUCUUGGGAAGCUUCUUGAUGCGCUUCCUUAGAACCAUAGGCCAGUAGUAUAUAUAGGAGUCGAGGCUGAAGAGUUCUUCAGUCUCGACAACAC